UACGUAGGGCGCAAGCGUUGUCCGGAAUUAUUGGGCGUAAAGAGCUCGUAGGCGGCCUGUUGCGUCCGCUGUGAAAUCCCGGGGCUCAACCCCGGGCCUGCAGUGGAUACGGGCUGGCUGGAGGCAGGCAGGGGAGAACGGAAUUCCUGGUGUAGCGGUGAAAUGCGCAGAUAUCAGGAGGAACACCGGUGGCGAAGGCGAUUCUCUGGGCCUGUUCUGACGCUGAGGAGCGAAAGCGUGGGGAGCGAACAGG
Molecule: ribosomal RNA, 253 nt
Filed under: uncultured bacterium
Lineage: Bacteria
Description: partial 16S ribosomal RNA
Rfam family: Bacterial small subunit ribosomal RNA
Source: RNAcentral